This 1364-nucleotide long non-coding RNA is filed under the name Nicotiana benthamiana. RNAcentral's name for it is "long non-coding RNA (NBEN_LNC009697)". Lineage: Eukaryota; Viridiplantae; Streptophyta; Magnoliopsida; Solanales; Solanaceae. The record is from RNAcentral.
GAGGAUAUGGAAUUUCAAUACAAGGAACGUAAAUGCUUCUGAUGGAAUUUCAAUUCAAGAACCACACAUGUCUUCAAGAACACAUCCAGUCCAAACUUUCUGCUAUUGCUUUCUAACAGAAUAUACACCAAGCAAAGAGCUGGUGUAAAAUUUCGAGAGAACAAUGGUACUUUCUGAGAUAUCCAAACUCGCAACCCCAACUGUUGCCAUGGAGAAUAUGGAAUACUAUGAUAAGAAAAUAACUUCUACAUUCAAUCAACUGCUAAAAAUGAACUUAUAAAACAGAAUUCUGUAAAACCCCAUAAGAUAGCAAUUCCAUUUCUAAAUUAACGUGACACUUAACAAGGUAUUAUCCCAAAUGGAAUUUUACAGUUUCUGCACUAGGAUAUACAUUUGGGAGACUAUCUUGUGAUUCUAAAGUUCCUCUUUGCACAAUUACAGUGGCAACUUAGGAUCAACGACAAUUUGAACAAUUUCCGGCAAACAUGGAACCAGAAACAUCAAAAUCCAAUAACAUCUCAAGUAUAGAUUAUUAUCCAAACAGAUUGGGAAUCUAACAACAAUUUGAAACAUAAUUCAGCAAAUAAAAUCGACAUGGGUAUGAAAAUACUGUGCAUUACUCAUGAAAUCAAAUGAAAGAGCUUAAAUAUUUCACUGUUAACAUGCUUAAUUUUGGUAAGUCACAUGUCAAUAGCAAUUAAAAAUAUUAGUUGGCAAGCCAGACGGAUUUACACAUUCAAAUCAAAACACAGAAUCACCAACGAAUACUUAACAGUGAAAACGAGACCUAACAGAUCCGAAGGUCGAGCAUGAAGAAUACAAAAAUUGAACAUACUCAUGGUCAACAAUUCGACUAUUUAUUCAUAUUCAACUGCAAAUUUCGUGUAAAUGUGUACAUACCUAGACAGAGAACAGCAAAAUUUGACCCAGGUAAAGGUUGGAAUUAAAACAUGAAACUCAGCAGUGGCCAAAUCGAAGGAAGAAAAAUUCGAAAGGCCGGCGAAUCAAUUCGAAAUCAGCAGCCAAAGAACACCUCGAAAUGACCUCAACUCUACCAAACACAAUCCAUGGUUUUUUUUUUUCAGAAAAUCAAAACAAAUCAAGAUAAAAAAUGAACGAAGAUCUCUUGGUUUUGUUUUUGAAAUCGGAUUUGUGGAAUCCAAAACUUUAGCUUUUCUUUGUUUCUGUUAGGAGGUAUCUUCCUAAUGUGUAGGAAUCUGAUGUGUGUGUGUUUUAUUGUGAAGAAGAAGAGAAUGGGAAAGGGGUCCCGUAUUUGGCGUGUUCUGUUGUGGAGCUGAAGAUGGAAGAGAAGGGCGGGGAUGCUUUUUUUUUUUCGGUUCCCUUUGUGUGUUGAUGGUAUAACG